GAUGAACGCUGGCGGCGUGCCUAAUACAUGCAAGUCGAGCGAACGGACGAGAAGCUUGCUUCUCUGAUGUUAGCGGCGGACGGGUGAGUAACAUGUGGAUAACCUACCUAUCAGACUGGGAUAAUGUCGGGAAACCGGAGCUAAUACCGGAUAAUAUCUUGAACCGCAUGGUUCAAAAGUGAAAGACGGUCUUGCUGUCUCUUAUAGAUGGAUCCGCGCUGCAUUAGCUAGUUGGUAAGGUAACGGCUUACCAAGGCAACGAUGCAUAGCCGACCUGAGAGGGUGAUCGGCCACACUGGAACUGAGACACGGACCAGACUCCUACGAGAGGCAGCAGUAGGGAAUCUUCCGCAAUGGGCGAAAGCCUGACAGAGCAACGUCGCGGGAGUGAUGAAGGUCUUCGGAUCGUAAAACUCUGUUAUUAGGGGAGAACAUAUGUGUAAGUAACUGUGCACAUCUUGACGGUACCGAAUCAAAAAGCCCCGGCUAACUACGUG
This 497-nucleotide ribosomal RNA is filed under the name uncultured bacterium. RNAcentral's name for it is "partial 16S ribosomal RNA". It matches the Rfam family "Bacterial small subunit ribosomal RNA", at positions 28 to 507 of the family's 1533-position model. The record is from RNAcentral.